AACGAACGCUGGCGGCAGGCCUAACACGUGCAAGUCGAACGCCCUAGCAAUAGGGAGUGGCAGACGGGUGAGUAACACGUGGGAACCUUCCCUAUAGUACGGAAUAGCCCAGGGAAACUUGGAGUAAUACCGUAUACGCCCGAGAGGGGAAAGAUUUAUCGCUAUAGGAUGGGCCCGCGUCGGAUUAGCUAGUUGGUGAGGUAACGGCUCACCAAGGCAACGAUCCGUAGCUGGUUUGAGAGAAUGACCAGCCACACUGGGACUGAGACACGGCCCAGACUCCUACGGGAGGCAGCAGUGGGGAAUCUUGGACAAUGGGCGCAAGCUUGAUCCAGCCAUGCCGCGUGAGUGGUGAAGGCCCUAGGGUUGUAAAGCUCUUUUGUCGGGGACGAUAAUGACGGCACCCGAAGAAUAAGCUCCGGCUAACUUCGUGCCAGCCGCCGCAGUAA
This 449-nucleotide ribosomal RNA is filed under the name uncultured bacterium. RNAcentral describes it as "partial 16S ribosomal RNA". It matches the Rfam family "Bacterial small subunit ribosomal RNA", at positions 29 to 523 of the family's 1533-position model. The record is from RNAcentral.